Molecule: ribosomal RNA, 154 nt
Filed under: uncultured bacterium
Lineage: Bacteria
Description: partial 16S ribosomal RNA
Rfam family: Bacterial small subunit ribosomal RNA
Source: RNAcentral
AGGCAGCAGUGGGGGAAUCUUGCGCAAUGGGCGAAAGCCUGACGCAGCGACGCCGCGUGCGGGAUGACGGCCUUCGGGUUGUAAACCGCUUUCAGCAGGGACGAGGCCGCAAGGUGACGGUACCUGCAGAAGAAGCCCCGGCUAACUACGUGCC